CCUCCGCCGGAAGGGAAGCGGAGCCGCCCUGGCCGAGGGGAGGGGAGAGCGGCGCGGGGGAGGGGACACCGCCCGGCCCGGCGCCCCCGGAGGCGGCCGCUCCGCGCUCCCGUACCUGCGCUGGAAGUCGGUCCGGAAGGGCUCCAGGUUCCUAGGGUGUUGCACAUCUGCUCACAGCUGGCAGUUGCUCCUGCAGGAACAUCUGGAUUGCAACAAUCUGCAUCUCCAAGGCUUAGUCCCUGCUGAAUAUGCCAUUCCCCCAGCCCAGCUAUUUCUUCUACAAAAGGAGAGGAAGACAGGUGUUUCUAGGAGCAGAGUGGGCAUGUGUAGUAAGAGUUGCUUCUAAGUCCUGAGCUUGGCAGUCUUCCUCAUGCAGACAAGAGAUGGGACUUGCUUUGUAAGUCAUCAGCCCCUAGCUGAUGACACAAGAACAGUGAUGUUUACUUUGUGGGAUUCUAAUUCCUCAGCUUUGGCUGCACACAGUUAAAAUACUGAAUUACGCUUAAAAUUAAUGAAUUAUCUGCUGCUUCUUGACCUAAGCACUCCUGCAGCUGUGUCCUCAGGAGCUCCUGUGUUGCCAUCUGAUUCAACACGUGCACAAGGAACACUUUCAAAGGGAGCUGAGUCAUUCUCUAAAUCUGGAACAUCGUCCUCGGAACACAAAACCUUCCCCUGCAGGACUUAAGGGCAAGUAUUAACUGUGUCAUUUGGCAUAAGAUGUUUUAGCUUCUCUUACUUUAAAUUACUAGUGUGUCCUACUGAAAAGCACAUAAUUUAGCU
Long non-coding RNA from Agelaius phoeniceus (red-winged blackbird), 780 nucleotides. RefSeq lists it as uncharacterized. NCBI's taxonomy places the organism in Eukaryota, Metazoa, Chordata, Aves, Passeriformes, Icteridae. The record is from RefSeq and is a predicted model, not a curated record.